AGAGUUUGAUCAUGGCUCAGAAUCAACGCUGGCGGCGCGCUUAACACAUGCAAGUCGCACGAGAAAGGGAGCAAUCCUGAGUAAAGUGGCGUACGGGUGAGUAACACGUGGAUCAUCUACCUUUUAGUGGGGAAUACCCCUGGGAAACUGGGGACAAUACCGCAUAAGCUCGUGAGAGGAAAGCAGCAAUGCGCUGAAAGAGGAGUCCGCGGCUGAUUAGCUAGUUGGUGAGGUAACGGCCCACCAAGGCGAAGAUCGGUAGCCGGCCUGAGAGGGCACACGGCCACACUGGCACUGAAAUACGGGCCAGACUCCUACGGGAGGCAGCAGUGGGGAAUCUUGCACAAUGGAGGAAACUCUGAUGCAGCGACGCCGCGUGAACGAUGAAGCCCUUCGGGGUGUAAAGUUCUUUCGACGGGAACGAUAAUGACGGUACCCGAAGAAGAAGCUGCGGCUAACUACGUGCCAGCAGCCGCGGUAAUACGUAGGCAGCAAGCGUUGUUCGGAAUUACUGGGCGUAAAGAGUGCGUAGGCGGUGCUCUAAGUCUGUCGUGAAAUCUCCCGGCUUAACUGGGAGGGUGCGGCGGAAACUGGAAUGCUUGAGGGUGGGAGAGGUAAGCGGAAUUCCUGGUGUAGCGGUGAAAUGCGUAGAUAUCAGGAGGAACACCUGGUGUAGACAGCUUACUGGACCACUUCUGACGCUGAGGCACGAAAGCGUGGGUAGCAAACAGGAUUAGAUACCCUAGUAGUCC
RNAcentral lists this ribosomal RNA (752 nucleotides) under uncultured bacterium. RNAcentral's name for it is "bacterial SSU rRNA". It matches the Rfam family "Bacterial small subunit ribosomal RNA", at positions 8 to 796 of the family's 1533-position model. The record is from RNAcentral.